GGGGUGAUAGCUCAAUUGGGAGAGCGCAGCGUUCGCAAUGCUGAGGUCGGGGGUUCGACUCCCCUUCACUCCA
Molecule: transfer RNA, 73 nt
Filed under: Planctomycetaceae bacterium
Lineage: Bacteria; Pseudomonadati; Planctomycetota; Planctomycetia; Planctomycetales; Planctomycetaceae
Description: tRNA-Ala
Rfam family: tRNA
About the family: Transfer RNA (tRNA) molecules are approximately 80 nucleotides in length.
Source: RNAcentral